Molecule: non-coding RNA, 334 nt
Organism: Paramisgurnus dabryanus
Lineage: Eukaryota; Metazoa; Chordata; Actinopteri; Cypriniformes; Cobitidae
Source: RefSeq, a predicted model, not a curated record
GCAACAGGAACAAACCUCCAUCGAGGAGAGGCUCUCCUGGAGUAUUCACAGAUGUCUCAAUGUUUCUUUUAUGGAUAAAGUUCAAUCUUAAAAAAGGAGUGGACAGGUCUCUGUGCAGUGUGGCAGAUGGUUUUGUACAUGAAAAUAAAGGCAUUAUCAGAAAUCCAGCUAGUCCAGGGCAGAACUACAAUAACAAUGAAAUAUGUCUUUGGUCCAUUCGAGCCGGAGCUGGUAAGCUUGUUCUAAUGGAGUUCCAAGAGUUCGGCCUAGAGGAUGACAAACUGUGCCAAAGCGACCAUGUGACGGUGUAUGUUGAUGGGGACAAUCAAAUAGG